GUGAAAUUGUUGAAAGGGAAACGCUUGAAGUCAGUCACGUUGACUUUGAAUCAGCUCUGCUUUUGCUGGGUGUACUUUCUUGUCAAUGGGUCAGCAUCAAUUUUGACCAUUGGAUAAAGUCAUUGGGAAUGUAGCAUCUUUAGAUGUGUUAUAGCCUGGUGAUGCAUACGGUGGUUGGGAUUGAGGAAUUCAGCACGCCACCAGGCCGGGUUUCGACCAUGUUCGUGCUUAGGAUGCUGGCAUAAUGGCUUUAACUGACCCGUCUUGAAACACGGACCAAGGAGUCUAACAUAUCUGCGAGUGUUUGGGUGGAAAACCCAUGUGCGUAAUGAAAGUGAAAGUUGAGAUCCCUUCUCAAGGGAGCAUCGAUGCCCGGACCAGACCUUUUGUGACGGAUCCGCAGUAGAGCAUGUAUGUUGGGACCCGAAAGAUGGUGAACUAUGCCUGAAUAGGGUGAAGCCAGAGGAAACUCUGGUGGAGGCUCGUAGUGAUUCUGACAUGCAAAUCGAUCGUCAAAUUUGGGUAUAGGGGCGAAAGACUAAUCGAACCAUCUAGUAGCUGGUUCCUGCCGAAGUUUCCCUCAGGAUAGCAGAAACUCAUAUCAGAUUUAUGUGGUAAAGCGAAUGAUUAGAGGCCUUGGGGUUGAAACAACCUUAACCUAUUCUCAAACUUUAAAUAUGUAAGAACGAGCCGUCUCUUGACUGGACUGGCUCGAUGAUUGAGAGUUUCUAGUGGGGCCUUUUU
Molecule: ribosomal RNA, 744 nt
Filed under: uncultured Basidiomycota
Lineage: Eukaryota; Fungi; Basidiomycota
Description: LSU rRNA
Rfam family: Eukaryotic large subunit ribosomal RNA
Source: RNAcentral